AUGGCACCAGCUGCUAUUCCUGUGGUGGGGGAGUUGCCCAACAACGUUGUGGUGGCCGUGCCUGCGCCUGGGCCUUCUCUGCGUCGCAGCUCCCGCAACAAGCAGCUGUACCAUGGGGCUCGGGUAGGCGCGGUGGAGCGUGCUUCCAAGCGCAAGGCUACUAUUAUGGACCUCCCUCUCAAGAUCACCCCUAAGCCAAUGAAGAAGGGCAAGCUACUGCCUGAGUCUUCCAAGCUCGACAAGGAUGCCAUUAUCUCUGAAACUGAAGGAGCUGGAUCCACUUUGGCCUCACGUAAGCACAUCCUGUGUGGCCCUUGUUGGUGCCGACUGCCAACCCUCUAG
RNAcentral lists this ribosomal RNA (342 nucleotides) under Triticum aestivum (bread wheat). RNAcentral's name for it is "partial small subunit ribosomal RNA". The record is from RNAcentral. Lineage: Eukaryota; Viridiplantae; Streptophyta; Magnoliopsida; Poales; Poaceae.